UCCCUGGUGGUCCAGUGGCUAAGACUCCGUAUUCCCAAUGCAGGUGGCCUGGGUUCAGUCCCUGGUCAGGGAA
This 73-nucleotide transfer RNA is filed under the name Bos taurus (domestic cattle). It matches the Rfam family "tRNA". From Rfam's summary of the family: Transfer RNA (tRNA) molecules are approximately 80 nucleotides in length. RNAcentral also lists the same sequence under 3 other names. Lineage: Eukaryota; Metazoa; Chordata; Mammalia; Artiodactyla; Bovidae. The record is from Rfam by way of RNAcentral.